This 4237-nucleotide long non-coding RNA is filed under the name Equus caballus (horse). Its description in RNAcentral is "lncRNA (ENSECAG00000055601.1)". Lineage: Eukaryota; Metazoa; Chordata; Mammalia; Perissodactyla; Equidae. The record is from RNAcentral.
GUUAUAUUCAAUUUACCAAAAAUAAUGAGAACAAUUUUGAAAUGCAAGCAUCUCUGAGACUUCCUAGGGGAGUUCCAAAUCAGCUUUGACCCUGCAUUUAAUUUACUUUUAGCAUAGAAUGUAGCAUAUUAUUACCUUUAGAAUUUCUCAUUUCAGAUGAAAAAAAAGUCAAGCUUUUAGAGUAAUUGCAAAUUUUUUAAAGAGACCUCAGUGAAAGCAGAGAGGUGAGUUUCCAUGGCAAUCUCUGAACAACGCAAAGGGAAGGGAAGAAGAGGGGAGCAUUUAAUGAGCACUUACAUGAUGUUAAGCAGUGUGCUUGGCACUUUACGGAAAAUAUCUGUCUAAAACACGGGAAAAUGCUGUGAGGUCAUGGUUUUAGGGAAGAACAAGCGGACUCCAAGGUAGAGAGACUUACCUCAGUUAACCGUUUAGAAUGUGGCCCAAAUGGGGUCUGGCCCUCCUUUGCUGCACCGUUGAGUUUCCUGCGAUUGCACCUUCUUUCUGCUGCUCACGCUCUAUGCCCCAUGUUUCCCAGGCUUAUUCCUCUUUGUUCCCAGACUUCCUCAAGGCUUCCCCAGGGUUAAUAUACAAACCUCCCUCUCCAGCCCGAUCUCUCACCAGCACCUCAGGCCCCUAUUUCCUUCUGACAAUGAGAUAAAUAUCCUUAGAUAGAUUAUCUUUCCUACUCAGAGAGAGUCUUCCUUGUGGCAGAAAGCCUAUGAGAAAAGUUGAAAGAGUGAUGGCAGGGUGAAACCACCAUGCUACAACCAGCCUACUACGGACCAGCUGUGCAAGAAUCAUCAACGGAAGCCAAAUCUGGGGGGAAGUUUGACGAGGGGCAGAAUAUCUGCGUGGUCUCAAAGGCUCUCUGCACAGAUUGCUUGUUAGCUGAAAGGCGAAAAACAGUAACUGCACAAUGGAGAAAUGGGAUGAGACUUGGUGUGAUCAAAAUUGACCUUAGCAGAGAGGAGCGGAUGGACAUCACAUGCCCCUGGACGUGAUGCAUUGAGAAGGAAACCCCAUCACCUAUGAGUAACUUGAAUCUAAUCACAAGGAAACAUCAGACAAACCCACACUGAAGAACAGUCUACAGCCGGCCUCGAUUCUUUAAAAACGUCUGGGUAUGAAAGUGAGAAGGACUGAGGAACCUUCUAGAUUAAAGGAGAGUAAACAGACAUGGCCACUAAAUGGAGCAGAUCCUGUACUGGACAUGUUCCAUGAGUUACACUAAGCUCUCUGGGACCAGAGCUGUGGACAGCAGAGACCCGGGCCUUGCCUCCCAGAACUUCCACUGCAGGGGAUGUGAUGGACACUAGUGAGCAUAAGCGCUACGGAAGCACAAGGAGGGGCAUCUCAUCCAGACCAAGAGGGUAAGGCAGGCCUCUCAGAGGGGAGGUGACUGCUGCCAUCACGGAUUUUCAGAGAUGGGAGAACCUGUGAAAUCUUGCUUAUCCCUGUGUUCUAAAGACCUGGCACAUAGGCAUUUCCCUAACUAGUGAAUCUGGAAAAAGGACAUACAGGUGUUCUCUCUUGUGUAUAGCAUGUACUACUCCUAAUUGAUAGGAUGAGUGAGUGAAUGAAUGAAUGAAUGAGUGAGUCAGUGAAAGAGUGAACAAAUUUCCACCUGUAACUGCAAGGAACCCAGUGGGACGAGCUCUCCCAGGAGGUUAUUCUCUCUCUCAUCCUUCCAAGGUCACCAGAGUGAGUGGGUCAGCUCCAGCAAGUCUUUCCCUCUUUGAUUGGGCAGUGAGAAGGAUUUGGGGGCGGCAGCAUGGUGACUAACCAUAGCCAUGGGGGUUCCUGCUGCCCCUGCUUCUGUGUUCUGAUUUCAGAGGAGAUGAAACGCUUUAUUAAGAAAAGCCAUUUAGGUCUCUCUCUUUUCCUGAGUUGCUCAACCUUUUUCAGACCCCGAUAUUCACAGAGGAGAACAAAGCCGCCUUCCCGAAGCUGUACUUUGGGUUUUGUUCUUGCUGAAGCCAUGAGAAGCCAGCAGCCCGCGUGCCUCUGUAGGUCAGAAACAAGGGCCCUUUGGCUCUGUCCAAAGAUCAUAAUCUUCGUAGUAACAAAGCAAUAUGCUUUCAGUUUUACUCAGUGCUUUCUCUUUCAUGAUCUCAUUUCAUUUACAGAGCAGACUUACGGAAUGUUGGAGACCCUGAUGGCUACAAUACUUGGGGAUUUCCACACCCUCUUUGGUGAAGUCCCAGGAAACUGUGAAGGAGCCAGGGGCCUGCCCUGUCGGGAGGAGCCCCCCUCCUCGGGGCAGGAAGCCGAGCUGGCUCAUUUCUCUGCCCUUUGCUCAGCCAACCAUGCCAACUGAGCUGCUUGCUUGCGCUUGUCCCAUAUAUUGCAGUUCCAGUGACAUUUCUCUUGAAAAGUAGAUCUUAUAGCUGGAAACAAAAGUUUGGAGACUAUUGAUCAGUGGCAAUACCUUCAUAUUUUUGGUAAAGAAAUGCAGGUCCAGAAAAGGAAAUCAUUGGUUUAAAAUCACAAAGUUAACAAGUAGCAGAGCAGAAACUAAGCUCCUGUCCUGGGUAUCAUUUCGGUUUCUACUCUAGGGCAUUCGAUUGCUGCAUCUGGCAAAACCAGUCACAGGAAAUGGAAAGGUCCAAUGUUCUGGCCCAAAAGGAGAGAAAAAUGACAAUAUUUUUUUUUAAAUCCCUGAAAGCUGAGGGUUCUGGCAUGCCCCUCCUCCCGUGUGCCUAUUGGGUCUGUGUUCCCUGAUGCUGAGAAGGCCCGGUGAGUCACCCCUCCCUCCCAGAGCCUCACUUUCCUCCCCGGAAACUGACCUGGGGAAGGUGGCUCACCACCAUCUCUUCUGGAUUCCAAAUGUGCUUCAGGUUAGGAAAUAACUAGCAACGUUUACCCCCGUCCUGACUAACUAAAGAUUGAAUACCAGGCUGAACUGAAAUCAUGGAUGGGAACAGUUUCUUUCUAAUGUAAAACCAUAAGAAGAACUCCUUAUGAUGUCCAAGUUGCUCCCAGCUGCGGUGCCAGGGAGCACAGAAAGACCUACAAUCACCUUCCCGGGAAGGGAGUCCAUUCCCACCCCCACCUCUCAUGCUUUCAAAAGCCACAGAAGGGAGAAAGACCCUAAGCUUCAUGAGGUUCCUUUGAGAAGGGGAACUCAGGUCUAUUUUAGCCCCUCCCUGUGAAGAAAUGGAGGGCUGAGUGGCACUCCCUGAGACCACUGCCACCAGAGUGACACUGCCUGCCAUCUAGAGGCACUAGGGCAGGAAAGGGAGGCCAGCAUGGUGGCUGAAGCUGAAUCACCAGCUCCAGGAGGGCAAAGGGUCAAUUACUUGCAAGCAUCAGCAGACUCAACACACUUUCGAACACAUCUCUUCCUCCUGUAGAAAAAAAUGAUGUUGCCUUAUAGCUUCCUCACCUCUAACUCCUUGGAAUGGAUUUCAUGCUAUCUGUUCCUUCCAUGCCAGUAAUCUCUCUCUCUCACUCUCUCUCUGGCCAAAAGAAUACCACUUUUUCCUGUUCAAACCUUGCAGAGUGCACCAAUUAUAUAUGUUAAAAAUGAUGACAACAGUGAAAUUACUGAAAACCAUAAAAAGCAAUUAAAAACUAAAACCUUGAAGUGCUGAUGCUCCAUGAAAUUAUACUGAUUUGAUAGAUUCCACAGUUGGACAUUGCCUUCCUCUGUCAUGUGAACAAAAUGUUAUCUUUUCAUUUUAAAAGCAGUGAUUAUAUCGGUAUUUUUUUAAUGACAUCUAUGGGUUGUUUCCUUUCUGUAAAUAUAGAAUGUUCAUUUGCAUAGUCACAAAGGAAAUUAGGAAAUGUCUACUCAAUUUUUACAGCUCAUGACGUGUACUAAUAUUCCCAGUUUCUUUUCUACUCUGCCUGGUUGAGCAAAAGAUAAAUUUGUGUCGCUGUUGUUUGUCAUAUUGCAAGAUGAUAAUGUUUACCAAAUAAGCAAAUGAAACGACCUAUCAAAUUUACAAAUGAACUGUAGGUUAGAGUUGACCAAAUGCCGUCACAUUUUUUUUUUUAAUGUACUUGUUUUGAAAUUAACCUAGGUUUUACUCUACUCUCUCACAGCUGCUGAAUCUGUGAACUUGAGCGUGUUACCUUACCUCUCUGAGCCCCACUUUCCGCAUAUGUAAAAUGGAGAUAGUACUAGUAUUCAUGGGAUCGUGGGGUGGACUGAGCAAGAAAAUAUGCAGUUUAGUGUGAUGCAUGCACUAUAGAGUAGGCCCUCAAUAACUGGGAUUUCCUUUAAUUUCACUAG